UUUAAUAUAGCUUAUAAUUAAAGCGUUGCUGUGAAGUAGCAAAUAAAAUUUUUAAUUUAUAAACA
Molecule: transfer RNA, 65 nt
Filed under: Colossendeis robusta
Lineage: Eukaryota; Metazoa; Arthropoda; Pycnogonida; Pantopoda; Colossendeidae
Description: tRNA-Phe
Source: RNAcentral